Dipodomys ordii (Ord's kangaroo rat) is the source of this 160-nucleotide small nuclear RNA. Its record names the gene U1. It matches the Rfam family "U1 spliceosomal RNA". From Rfam's summary of the family: U1 is a small nuclear RNA (snRNA) component of the spliceosome (involved in pre-mRNA splicing). Its 5' end forms complementary base pairs with the 5' splice junction, thus defining the 5' donor site of an intron. Lineage: Eukaryota; Metazoa; Chordata; Mammalia; Rodentia; Heteromyidae. The record is from Ensembl.
AUACUUACUUGGCAAGGGAAAUACUGUAAUCACAAAUGUUGUUUUCCCAGUAAAGUUUAGUUAUUGCCCUCCAGAGUUGCUGCCCUUUAUGAUUUCCCCAAAUAUGUGAAACUAACAACAUAGGUUGUAGUAGUAGGGGAUGCAUUCAUGCUCACCCCUG